GCCCUUUAGUAUAUAAAUGAUAAACAAACAACAUGGGAUCCUAUAGAACGUCUUAUAGUAGAUAAAUAAUGUUGAGAAAACAGGUGAUCCUUUAGAACGCCCUAUAGUAUAAACAUGAAAAACAAUCAACAGUGGGUCUUAUAGAACGUCCUAUAGUACAUAUAUUAUGUUGAAAAACAGGGAUUCCUGCAGACCACCCAUAGUUUCCCGCAGACCGACUUAGGGAUCAUAUAGAAAGCCCUAUAGUAUAAACAUGAAAAACAAUCAACAGGGGAUACUAUAGAACGUCCUAUGAUAGAUAUAUAAUGUUGAGAAAACAGGGGAUCCUGCAGACGGCCCAAGGGAUCAUAAACGCCCUAUAAUAUAUACAUAAUAAACAAAGAACAGGGGAACCUAUAUAAUUUCCUAUCUCAGAUGCAUAUUUUUUUUUAACAAAAAGGGAUUCUGUAGACCGCCCAGGGGAUCCUGUAGAACGCCCUAUAGUAUAAAUAUGAAAAACAAAGAACAGGG
Molecule: long non-coding RNA, 510 nt
Filed under: Mytilus galloprovincialis (Mediterranean mussel)
Lineage: Eukaryota; Metazoa; Mollusca; Bivalvia; Mytilida; Mytilidae
Source: RNAcentral